UCUUAUCCAGAGGUGGUGGAGGGAUCAAACCCUAUGAAGCCAGAGCAACCUCCUUUUCAAGAAAGGUGCUAAAGAAUGCAGAGAAAUUCUGAGCGAUAAGG
Molecule: non-coding RNA, 101 nt
Filed under: Jeotgalicoccus meleagridis
Lineage: Bacteria; Bacillati; Bacillota; Bacilli; Caryophanales; Staphylococcaceae
Description: SAM riboswitch (S box leader)
Rfam family: SAM riboswitch aptamer (S box leader)
About the family: The SAM riboswitch is found upstream of a number of genes which code for proteins involved in methionine or cysteine biosynthesis in Gram-positive bacteria.
Source: RNAcentral